This 320-nucleotide unclassified non-coding RNA is filed under the name Hevea brasiliensis (rubber tree). The record is from RNAcentral. Lineage: Eukaryota; Viridiplantae; Streptophyta; Magnoliopsida; Malpighiales; Euphorbiaceae.
GAGGACCAAAGUUACUGAGGAAAAAAUGCGGAUCACCAAGACAUAGGAGAAGUGUAACUAACGGAUAGCCAACAGCAAUAUGUUUGCUUUGCUUGUCCAUCCAAUGCAUGAGCUGAACCCUUAUUCGUGCCACAGCUUCAUACCAUAAAGUUAGUGCAGGAUCUAUGAAUGAAGGAGGCCAUUGACCUUUUCCACUAUCUGCAAGAGGUGCUAAGAUGUUCGAUAGCAUAUUGCAUAAGGCAUGAUGAAGUUCGCUUUUUCGUUUAUGUGGAGCACGAUUAAGUGGGUUAGCUUUAGCCACAAAGGAAGCUGAAGCAUUC